UCUGUAAGCCUGUGAAGGUGAGUUGAGAAGCUUGCUGGAGGUAUCAGAAGUGCGAAUGCUGACAUGAGUAACGACAAUGGGUGUGAAAAACACCCACGCCGAAAGACCAAGGGUUCCUGCGCAACGUUAAUCGACGCAGGGUUAGUCGGUUCCUAAGGCGAGGCUGAAAAGCGUAGUCGAUGGGAAACAGGUUAAUAUUCCUGUACUUCUGGUUACUGCGAUGGAGGGACGGAGAAGGCUAGGCCAGCUUGGCGUUGGUUGUCCAAGUUUAAGGUGGUAGGCUGAAAUCUUAGGUAAAUCCGGGGUUUCAAGGCCGAGAGCUGAUGACGAGUCGUCUUUUAGAUGACGAAGUGGUUGAUGCCAUGCUUCCAAGAAAAGCUUCUAAGCUUCAGGUAACCAGGAACCGUACCCCAAACCGACACAGGUGGUCGGGUAGAGAAUACCAAGGCGCUUGAGAGAACUCGGGUGAAGGAACUAGGCAAAAUGGCACCGUAACUUCGGGAGAAGGUGCGCCGGCUAGGGUGAAGGAUUUACUCCGUAAGCUCUGGCUGGUCGAAGAUACCAGGCCGCUGCGACUGUUUAUUAAAAACACAGCACUCUGCAAACACGAAAGUGGACGUAUAGGGUGUGACGCCUGCCCGGUGCCGGAAGGUUAAUUGAUGGGGUUAGCGCAAGCGAAGCUCUUGAUCGAAGCCCCGGUAAACGGCGGCCGUAACUAUAACGGUCCUAAGGUAGCGAAAUUCCUUGUCGGGUAAGUUCCGACCUGCACGAAUGGCGUAACGAUGGCGGCGCUGUCUCCACCCGAGACUCAGUGAAAUUGAAAUCGCUGUGAAGAUGCAGUGUAUCCGCGGCUAGACGGAAAGACCCCGUGAACCUUUACUGUAGCUUUGCACUGGACUUUGAGCCUGCUUGUGUAGGAUAGGUGGGAGGCUUUGAAGCGUGGACGCCAGUUCGCGUGGAGCCAUCCUUGAAAUACCACCCUGGCAUGCUUGAGGUUCUAACUCUGGUCCGUAAUCCGGAUCGAGGACAGUGUAUGGUGGGCAGUUUGACUGGGGCGGUCUCCUCCUAAAGAGUAACGGAGGAGUACGAAGGUGCGCUCAGACCGGUCGGAAAUCGGUCGCAGAGUAUAAAGGCAAAAGCGCGCUUGACUGCGAGACAGACACGUCGAGCAGGUACGAAAGUAGGUCUUAGUGAUCCGGUGGUUCUGUAUGGAAGGGCCAUCGCUCAACGGAUAAAAGGUACUCCGGGGAUAACAGGCUGAUACCGCCCAAGAGUUCAUAUCGACGGCGGUGUUUGGCACCUCGAUGUCGGCUCAUCACAUCCUGGGGCUGAAGCCGGUCCCAAGGGUAUGGCUGUUCGCCAUUUAAAGUGGUACGCGAGCUGGGUUUAGAACGUCGUGAGACAGUUCGGUCCCUAUCUGCCGUGGACGUUUGAGAUUUGAGAGGGGCUGCUCCUAGUACGAGAGGACCGGAGUGGACGAACCUCUGGUGUUCCGGUUGUCACGCCAGUGGCAUUGCCGGGUAGCUAUGUUCGGAAAAGAUAACCGCUGAAAGCAUCUAAGCGGGAAACUUGCCUCAAGAUGAGAUCUCACUGGGAACUUGAUUCCCCUGAAGGGCCGUCGAAGACUACGACGUUGAUAGGCUGGGUGUGUAAGCGUUGUGAGGCGUUGAGCUAACCAGUACUAAUUGCCCGUGAGGCUUGACC
Molecule: ribosomal RNA, 1704 nt
Filed under: Pseudomonas aeruginosa
Lineage: Bacteria; Pseudomonadati; Pseudomonadota; Gammaproteobacteria; Pseudomonadales; Pseudomonadaceae
Description: bacterial LSU rRNA
Rfam family: Bacterial large subunit ribosomal RNA
Source: RNAcentral